This 281-nucleotide long non-coding RNA is filed under the name Ananas comosus (pineapple). RNAcentral's name for it is "long non-coding RNA (ACOM_LNC043106)". The record is from RNAcentral. Lineage: Eukaryota; Viridiplantae; Streptophyta; Magnoliopsida; Poales; Bromeliaceae.
AGACUUACCGGGAGGUUGUGGAUCGAGCAUUGAUAGUAGAGGCAGGAGCGGCGGAUCUGCUGGAGCGUCGCGAGAGCUUGGAGAAAGGGAAGGGGAAGAGACCCGCGGCUGAGGGUGCGAGUCAGACGCACUCACGGAGGCCGCCGAGGCAUCCCAGGAGCAGGAGCCAGUCGCGAGGACGCGGCCAGUCUACUCAGCGAGGAGGACCCGAUCGUCAUCAGGCUCCCCGCUGCGUGAUCUGUGGCGGUCCUCAUUACCCGCGGCAGUGUUCACGCAGCCGG